RNAcentral lists this transfer RNA (72 nucleotides) under Ovis aries (sheep). It matches the Rfam family "tRNA". Rfam says of the family: Transfer RNA (tRNA) molecules are approximately 80 nucleotides in length. Lineage: Eukaryota; Metazoa; Chordata; Mammalia; Artiodactyla; Bovidae. The record is from Rfam by way of RNAcentral.
UCCCUGGUAGCUCAGAUGGUAAAGCUUCUGCCUGCAAUGCAGGAGACCCAGGUUCGAUCCCUGGGUCGGGAG